RNAcentral lists this ribosomal RNA (269 nucleotides) under uncultured prokaryote. RNAcentral describes it as "partial 16S ribosomal RNA". It matches the Rfam family "Bacterial small subunit ribosomal RNA", at positions 524 to 792 of the family's 1533-position model. The record is from RNAcentral.
GACGAAGGUGGCGAGCGUUGUUCGGUAUUACUGGGCUUAAAGCGUGUGUAGGCGGAAAUGUAAGCGUCUUGUGAAAUCCCUCGGCUUAACCGAGGAAUUGCUUGGCGAACUGCAUUUCUUGAGGCAAGUAGGGGUACACGGAACUCUUGGUGGAGCGGUGGAAUGCGUAGAUAUCAAGAGGAACGCCGGUGGAGAAGUCGGUGUACUGGGCUUGUCCUGACGCUGAGACACGAAAGCGUGGGGAGCAAACAGGAUUAGAUACCCCCGUA